UUCAUUCAUUUUCUACCGCUUAUCCGAACUAUUCUUGGGUCACAGGGAGCCUGUGCCUAUCUCGGGCGUCAUUGGGCAUCAAGGCAGGAUACACCCUGGACAGAGUGCCAACCCAUCGCAGGGCACACACACACACAUGGUGUGAGGCAAAUGUACUGACCACUAAGCCACCGUGCCCCCCCAGCAUAUAGUUACUUUUUAUAAAUUAUUUUGCAAACUACUUUGCUUUUCAAUACUAAGGGCAAUUUUGUGUAACUUGAUUUAUGACAUAAAUAAAUAUAUGUGUGACAAUUGGAGAAGGCGCUAUAGAAUUUCUAUUAUAUAGAAUUAUAUAGAAAUUCUGAUAUUUUUGUCCACUGGAGGGUGAUGUGGUGCUGCGCUGAAAUCAUGUCCUGAUUUCAAAUGAUCAUUUUAUAACCUUGAAAAAUACUUUGGAUCCAAACUGGUACAAUAUGAACAGCUUCUGUUAUUUCUGUUAUUUUAACUUUAAUAUUAACUUUUUAUAACAUGCCUUUUCCAUCUGUCCUCCCUUGUUGGUUGUUGACUUAAUCAUCUGACUGUAGAGUAUGCUAUACUAAAGGGCUGAACCAUUUUCUACACACCAGAAGUUGGUUAGCUUCCUGAAGUCAUAGAAUCGAGACACAUAAGCAGCACAGGUUUCAGCCUUGUGCUUUUCACAUGAUCAAGCCUAAGCUCUGGCUUGCCUCGGGAAAGAAAAGUCCAGGACUUGUUCAUCACUCACCCUUUCUCAUUGUGUUUUCACAGAGAACCUUCUGUAUGAGAGAUUUCUUCCUCCUAUAGGCCACAUAACUAAGACCCCCAGGAAUGCAUGUGUACUGCUGCGUUGUGUCCAGAGAGGUGUGAUGGUCUUACUCUUUGCCCUAAACUCCCCAAACCACAUCACCAGACAAUCCCAUGCUAAACUACCUACUGGCAUGUUCUGGGAGGUGGAAGAAACCAAUGAACCCAGGGAAAACCUAUGAGGCAGAAAUGCAACCCACUGCUCCACCAUAUCAUCUGAACUAAACAUUUUUCCACUUACUCUAGGCAUGCUAAUGGGAUUCAUAUGACUAGCAGUGCCACUGAUUACCAGCAACCUGUGAAUUCCUGAUUCAACUGGGCAGUAAUUCCACAUUAAGUCCUCAGCUAAGCUUAUCACUUACCUCAGCUAUAAACAUACUUUUACAUAACCUGGUUGAAGUAUUAUUGAAAGGUAGAAAAACUAAUCUGUUAUAUAUUAGAA
Tachysurus vachellii is the source of this 1243-nucleotide long non-coding RNA. RefSeq lists it as uncharacterized. The transcript is spliced from 3 exons. The record is from RefSeq and is a predicted model, not a curated record. NCBI's taxonomy places the organism in Eukaryota, Metazoa, Chordata, Actinopteri, Siluriformes, Bagridae.